RNAcentral lists this long non-coding RNA (430 nucleotides) under Physcomitrium patens. RNAcentral describes it as "long non-coding RNA (PPAT_LNC008039)". Lineage: Eukaryota; Viridiplantae; Streptophyta; Bryopsida; Funariales; Funariaceae. The record is from RNAcentral.
UUUUUUAAUUAUACAACUUCUUGAUGCACAUUUUAAAUUUUAUUGUUGACUUCUUCCAUAGAUGUAGGAAUAGUACUCCUAUGAUUCAUGUCAAAAAUAUGUGAGAUUUCUAUCCUAAGAGUACUAAUAAGCUUGUGAAGAUCUGGAAUAGUUAUAAAUUUAUUCUCACUUUUGCUACGAGUAUCUUGUAUAAUUUUUUCUUUUAUAGACAAUUCAGACAAAUUCAAAAAGUCAAAUUUGAGGAAAGUAAUCUGCAACCUCUAAUAUCAAAUAAAAAUUUAUACAAAAAAAAACUAAUUCAUUCUUUUUAAAAAAAAAAUGAAUAUUAAAAAACUAAAUUCUUUAUUUAAAGGUAGAUAGUCUAUAAUCUUCAAACACAAUAAUAAAAGUAGAGUAAUCUACUCAUUCUUGAAAGAAGAUAAGGAUAAUA